GUAGAUGUAGUUUAACAUAAAACAUUAGACUGUGGCUCUAAAAACAGGGGUUAGAAUCCCCUCAUUUACC
This 70-nucleotide transfer RNA is filed under the name Taractes asper (rough pomfret). RNAcentral's name for it is "tRNA-His". It matches the Rfam family "tRNA". Rfam says of the family: Transfer RNA (tRNA) molecules are approximately 80 nucleotides in length. Their secondary structure includes four short double-helical elements and three loops (D, anti-codon, and T loops). The record is from RNAcentral. Lineage: Eukaryota; Metazoa; Chordata; Actinopteri; Scombriformes; Bramidae.